This is a long non-coding RNA of Entelurus aequoreus (snake pipefish), 409 nucleotides long. RefSeq lists it as uncharacterized. NCBI's taxonomy places the organism in Eukaryota, Metazoa, Chordata, Actinopteri, Syngnathiformes, Syngnathidae. The record is from RefSeq and is a predicted model, not a curated record. The transcript is spliced from 4 exons.
AUUUUAAUGACAUGUCCUAAUAUCAUUUCUCAACAUAUUUCACAGAAUAUUGAAGGACGUUGACUCUCAGGAGUUUGGUCUCAACAGCUUACGCAAGGUGCCUCAACAUGAGAUGGAGGUGUAUGAUGUGUAGUUUUGAAUCAGACAAGCCAAUAGGAUUGUUAAAACACUAUAGAUCAAAGAGGAGUUCAGAAGGAUAACAACAGUUCAUCUGGAGCAAACCUUUUUGUCAAAACUGGACACACACACUCCCAAACUCCUGGAGAUAUUUAGGACUAAGGGCGGGGUUGCAGGCACGAAAUCAGACCGAUGCUGGAUUGACUUGGCCAGCAACAUGUUGAAGGCAUCAUACGUUGCCUAAUGGAGUUCCUUGGAGAGUCGGGAGAGGAGCUGAUCAAAGACUGCCAGG